This 856-nucleotide ribosomal RNA is filed under the name uncultured bacterium. RNAcentral's name for it is "bacterial SSU rRNA". It matches the Rfam family "Bacterial small subunit ribosomal RNA", at positions 57 to 874 of the family's 1533-position model. The record is from RNAcentral.
UCGAACGCUUUGUCUUUAAUUGAUCUGACGAGCUUGCUCUGAUUUGAUUUUAUCUGACAAAGAGUGGCGAACGGGUGAGUAACACGUGGGUAACCUACCUCUUAGCAGGGGAUAACAUUUGGAAACAAGUGCUAAUACCGUAUAAUACCAACAACCGCAUGGUUGUUGGUUGAAAGAUGGUUCUGCUAUCACUAAGAGAUGGACCCGCGGUGCAUUAGCUAGUUGGUAAGGUAACGGCUUACCAAGGCAAUGAUGCAUAGCCGAGUUGAGAGACUGAUCGGCCACAAUGGGACUGAGACACGGCCCAUACUCCUACGGGAGGCAGCAGUAGGGAAUCUUCCACAAUGGGCGCAAGCCUGAUGGAGCAACGCCGCGUGUGUGAUGAAGGGUUUCGGCUCGUAAAACACUGUUAUAAGAGAAGAACGGCACUGAGAGUAACUGUUCAGUGUGUGACGGUAUCUUACCAGAAAGGAACGGCUAAAUACGUGCCAGCAGCCGCGGUAAUACGUAUGUUCCAAGCGUUAUCCGGAUUUAUUGGGCGUAAAGCGAGCGCAGACGGUUAUUUAAGUCUGAAGUGAAAGCCCUCAGCUCAACUGAGGAAUGGCUUUGGAAACUGGAUGACUUGAGUGCAGUAGAGGAAAGUGGAACUCCAUGUGUAGCGGUGAAAUGCGUAGAUAUAUGGAAGAACACCAGUGGCGAAGGCGGCUUUCUGGACUGUAACUGACGUUGAGGCUCGAAAGUGUGGGUAGCAAACAGGAUUAGAUACCCUGGUAGUCCACACCGUAAACGAUGAGUGCUAGAUGUUCGAGGGUUUCCGCCCUUGAGUGUCGCAGCUAACGCAUUAAGCACUCCGCCU